Long non-coding RNA from Hylaeus volcanicus, 6631 nucleotides. RefSeq lists it as uncharacterized. NCBI's taxonomy places the organism in Eukaryota, Metazoa, Arthropoda, Insecta, Hymenoptera, Colletidae. The record is from RefSeq and is a predicted model, not a curated record. The transcript is spliced from 5 exons.
UCACGCGACAGUUCGAUUUAUGUGAAUUUAUCGAAUCGAGUUUCGAUAAUCGUUCGGAUUUACGAAAACAGCGGAUUCGAUGCCGGCUCAACGACAGUUUGCGAAUGGUAGUGCAUACUUAAUGUUGUAAAGAAAGUGAAUUUUGUGCAACAUUUUGCAGCAUAAGCGCAAUAUAGUUACAAGAUCCGGUUGGACGGCCUUAGGAUUACUGUCGAUGGAUAUUACGUUGUUUGAUUCUUCGAGAGAUGAGGGGCUCCUGGGCAAGGGUGGACUAAGGAUGGCCGAGGAUGACCACAGCUGACCUCUGACCACUGACCACUGACCACUACUGACCAACGUUUAGUUGAGAUUAUUCGUCAAUUUAUCGCAUCGUUGGAAUUGUUGGUCGAUUUCUGAUUAUUUCAUUAAUCAGAUUGUUUCAUUCGUGGUCAUCGAUGGAGUUGUAACUCGAUAUUUUAAUUAACAAUUUCAUUUUUCUAUUUUCAGGUUAUUUUAUUCUAUUACUUAUGUAUAUGUAUGCCUAAUCAAUCUAUUCGUGGACCACUGAACGAAACCAUCCUUUUGUGAAUAAUGGUGAAAUAAUACCUAUAAUAGACUUCGUUACGAUAAACAUCGAAGAAAUAACAACUCCGCGCCUUUCCUCGACUCAACCAGUCAGGGGUGCGAUAAUUGUAAUAACAAGCACUCCUUUCGUUCUACAAUUCACCAAGGAUGGCUACUUGAAAUACCGUUUAUCGCUAGUCUUUACAAGUAUCGAAAACGUUUUAUCUUGGUUUAUUUCUUAUUGCUGGAGUAUAAUAUAUGACGUGAUCGGGAGUUCAACCCUUUGAAUUAGUCGACAAUUCGUUGAAAAGAAAAAAAAAUACAGAAACAGAAGCAGGAAAAAUCGGAAAUAACUUUCGGUUCACCCUAAUACUUUUACCAACUAACAACGUUCGUGAAGAGAGGGAACCUACAGCGAUAAAUAAUACUGUACUUAAAAGUAGGUGUAGAAACCAAAAAAGGUUGAAAUACACUGGCGUGCGUCGCAAAAAACGGUGGAAACAAAUUGGAAUUCGUUUUCUGUUAAAGAAUUCUGCGAGUAUGAAAAAAAGCACGCAAAAGUGUUCCACAAUUUUUAGGUAAAAUUCCAUUUCGUAGCGGUCGAAACCUCCUCGUCGGAAAUAUCUCGAUUUUUCUACGUCAUCAAAAACCUUUCCCUGGUAAAACGAUCGUACCAGCCAGACGGGCAUUAUUCUUUUGCAACGCUUUCCCGUUUCCCGUAUCCCGUUCUCCAGUCUUUGAGAUCAGCGGUUAUUUUGUAAUCUUUGAAAAUGCUCGUGAAUCCACAGGAAAAGUAAUACUUGUCCAAUGGACGAGUUUACUUCCCAUUUAUCGCGAGAAGAUUGCAGGUUGUGACUCAGCUCGCUUAACCGAUGAAACGCGAAGAAAAUAGGAAAUCCUGCAACGAAUCGUAUCACUAAAAAAUACAAUUUUCAUCGUCGGAAACCGGUUCCUGCGUUAACUACACGUUUAAUUAACCAGAGAACGGGUCAUUUUCUAGGAAAGUGUUGAUCAAAUUGUCGAGCUUCGCGUCGAGUUGAUUUAACAGAAUUAGACAUCUCUUUUUUUUCAAGACAUCUCUUUGUUACAAGGCUAUAGGACGUCUGUAGAAUAGUGAUGUUAAAUAAGAAAAAGUAACGCGACUCAGAAAAUCAAAAGAGCUGAUUAAAAGGCGGAACACUCGUAGCCUCUAAUGAUUUGUCUUGUCGGCUAGUAGAACGGGCGGCUUUAAUCAGACGACGGCUCGGCGACCAUGAGGGUACCUGCACUCGUCGUUCGAUCCGUUAGCGAUUUUAAUUGGCGCUUGCCAGAGAAAGAUCGUUACGUAAACGUGAAUAAACAAACACAUGGGACCAGGGUGCUCGCAGCUGGUCUCGUUUUCUGUCAUCGAUUUCGGUCUCGUUCCUUGUGCCUGACGUAACCGCACUUACUAUUAGGCAUUAAGAUACAAUCAGAUACAAUACAAAGUAAAACUCCCUGUAUAAACUGUUGAAUUCAGGACUCGAAUUAAAGUAAACGAGUUUGAUCAAAUUAAUCACGCUACGAAUAUUCGUUACACUCACUGCGAAAUCCGCGUUAUCGGAUGUGCCCGACCCAUCAGUUUUCAAUUAUAAAACGCGACGACACACGUUUAGCCGCUGCUAUCGUGACCCAUUCUAACCCGAGAUGCGUGUAACCAAUUUGCCAGUCUUAGAGAACGGCUGGUUGAUUUUCAUUUCAACUUGAAGCGAAACUGCCGAAUCUAUUCCUCCGUCGAUGGUUUGCAACCUUUCCUAUAGAGAGGGUGUAAAAUGAAAGGAAAGAGGAUGCCGCAUUACAUCCGCAGUGAUUACUCCUCGUAAGAUUUCUUGCAAUCAGUUGUUUUUUUCGUGGUUGUUGCUGGAGCGAUCCCACGCCCUGCAUCUUGUUCCUUCGAAUUGGAAUUCGGAACUACGAGUCCCAACAGCGUACGUGCAACGAUGAAAAUAAAUAGCGGCAAUACGUUUUCAGGGAAAAAUGAAGCGGAGCGCCUCUGCUAAAUAAUUUAGAACGGUGUUUCUCAAACUUCUCCUUUCCGCGAAUACUAUCGGAGAGGGAAACCUUUGCUUCUCUUCCUUGGAAUGAAAUUAAGCGACUGCUUUUUAAAUGUAUAUCGAUACUUGAUCACAACCAACUCCUUGUUUAUUUCCGAAAGGUGAUAAUUAUUUUCACUUGUAAUUAAGCUUCAUAUUAUAUGUACGAUGAAAAGAUUGUCAAGAUAAUGGAAAAUGAAGAAAAUGCCGAAUUAAAUAUAAGACAUGUGUUCCUUGUGAAAUCAACACAAGAGUUUCUCGAUUUCAAAAUAAAAGGGGAAUCUCAUAUUCCUGAUUCCUGCCACGAAUUCUACAACGUGUCACUUUUUUUUCUUCUACGAGUUCGUAUGUUCCUAGUUGCUUGCGUUCGUGGAACUUGUGGGGUACGCGGUUCACAAUUUGGAAAGCACCGGUGGUUGUCAAGCUGCUUGAAAUCGUGUGGGAAAGUUAAAUCGUUCCAGGUUGCUGCAUUUCGAGUUGGCCGAUGUUAGCACAGAUCUACGAAUUCACCGGAAUCGAGGGAAAAUUAAAGUAGUAUUCGAUAGUAAUGGAAAUGACAGAAAUCAAUACUGCUGAUGCCAGCUUGAAAAUUGUAAUUUAGCGUCGAAUAGUAUCAGAUUGUAGGUUUCGUAUAGAAUUGAUAUCCAUUUAUUAUUGCAACGCAAGAUUCGUGCCCACCGUAUCGUUUCCGAUACAAGCUAAUUUCAACCAACUUAUAUCGUUUUUAAUUAAAGAAUCGCAUCACGACAAUUUACAUAAAUUGAACAGUUAUUUUGCAAUUAACCCGAAUCACAUAGUUUGGACCUUCAAAAAUAACUAGAAUAAGGUCCAAAUGAAACUUUAAUUGUAAUAUUAAAAAUAUCUACUCAACGCAUUGUGGCGCAACAAAUUCUGUUUAAUCGGAUUUUUUUUUUUUUUUUUUUUAAACAUAUUUGGAGAAUCUCGUAUUUUGGACAAUUUUUUAAUUCCAAAUGUGAAGGACUGAUUACGAUAAAAAAAUCUAUUUUUUUUUGAAGUUCGAAUCGAAAAGUUGUUUACCAAUUUGCGAACUGCGGCUUCGUUGUCGAGAUAUAAACAGUUGAAAUUUUCAAGUGCGCCUACGUAAAUUCUAUAUGAAUCUUAGUAGGUAUCAAAUUUUGCUUAUUGUUAUUCUCCUACAAUUACUGUAAUUGUCAAUUUGAAAUUGUGAAAAAUCUGAAUUUUAAAACGUUUCUUUUCAAUUUCCCAGAAAUUUGAAAAAAUCGAGCUGUCUCCUUACCGAAGCACAUCCUUCAAUUAUAAAAAACUAAACGUUCAUCUAAAUUCCCUUGGCGGUUCUUCGGCGCGGCCACGCGGAUUGUUAACGAUUUGUCAUGCUAAUCAACGAUAAAACUCUAGCAUUCUUACCUCGCUUUACACUUGAUCUUGACACGAAUCUCAUUCUCGUCAGUUUGCAGCUUCUUCAAGCCCUCGUCGGCGUCGUGGUGACUUUUCCACCAGAGGCGCGAAUAUAAUAGUUGAUCAAUUUUCUAACAGGAUCCACGUGACCACUCGCACUCGCUUUCAACAGCAUCGCUGAUCGCUCAAACAGUCGAUUCCCUCGAAACCGCUUUUCUAUUCCACCCCCCACCCCCCACCCGCCCCUAGUCGCGUUUAACCGCACUAUCAGUCUUUAUCGAAGUCUGCCUUUUGUCGGCCUGUCUUAGAUCGCUUUAAUGGACUUGUUCGCGAGCCACCUUUGCGAUAGCAAAAAUUCAAAUAAGUCCCGUGGGCGAUCGAAUCAACAUGCUAUAUCACGAUCAAAGAGUUCGAUGCUCGAUAUUUGAAAAACCUUCCACGAGGUAAAUCGUUAGAAACGAGUGAAAAAUGAGUCCCAGGGAGGGCGUCGAAACUUUCCUUCGACUUUGCGGUCCCUAACGAAAUUCCCUUCCUUUGACUAACAGAGUGGAAACAUUACGCGUGCACGAAAAUUAAAGUAGAGUCGUACGUCACAGACCGAGAAUGAAUCGUUCACCGGGAGUCUUUCACCGCCUCGACCCCACUUGGAACAAAGUGUCCAAUUGCACGACUAGUGCGGCAGCCUCGCAAUUAGGCCUAAACGACCGACGAACUCAGUCUUCCAUUCGGCGCACUUGUUCACGAGUCGCGAUCCCCGUCUCUUGCCACGAUUUACCUGACUUAACCGAUUUAACCGAUCGAGACACGUUCAGUUAGGAAAAGUUUGCUUCUACUAGUCGGCGCAUUAAGGCAAAUUGUCGUCGCAAAGCAACCAUCGCUGUCUUUCCAUCGAAGCUAAUGCGUCAUAGACAAACUCGUUCCCAAUGAACGAAUGGAAUUCUUCGAAUAAACCAAGUGACAAUUAGUUUAGCUUUCUUCGAACUCGAAGAAAUGAAUCGUCCAAGAUCUGACAAAGGUAUCAGGUUCCUCUCUCGUUCUCCUCGCGACUCGGAGGAAGUCGAUUACAAUCGUCAGGCAUGUAUCAAUUAUUUAACAGAUACUUUCAGAUAUAUCACAGCUCUCCUACUGCCAAACUUUCAGCGAUCGGUCGAGUCCUGAAAUCUCAAAGAGAGUCGAGGGAAUCCAUCCAUUGUUGUCCGUCUGGCUGGACGAAAGACAUGAUUAAUCUUUUAACGAUGAUUCCCCCUCGGUUUUUCACGUUUCCGAACGUGGAACGCGCUUGCAGACAAGCAAGGAACGCGACUCGUCCCGAGCAAGUGUCGCGCGCAGACUGAGGCUGCGAUUACCGUAACGGUUCCGCGUUCCCUCGCGACUUCCAGCCACGCGUUCUAUGCGCAGGGCUCGACGUGAAUCCCACGCCCGGACACCCUCGACCGAGGACACGUAAUCCCCGAUACCGGAUUAACCCUUCGAACAGGAAAAUCCGUUCGUCUUCGCGUUCGCGGCCGUUGAGGAAAAUUGAGACCGAUACCGGCGAUGGUGUCAACAAAGUGGAACAGAUUGUUGCGACCAUGGAAGAAGCCGGACUCUAUGUCCUUCGGACGAUGCGAAAUGCAACAGAUGCCCUCUUCAGCUAUCGACACAUGCUUGUUCGUUUCAGAGACAUUUCGAAUUCAUGGAAGACGGUAUACAUGUACUUGUUUUUGACGUGCAGUGUGUACACUCCCGCUUGGAACUAAAUCUGUGGACACUUCCUUAUUUGUAGAAAUAAAGGGGUCAAGGGUUUGUCAAAAACUAUCAAAAACUACUCCAAACCUACUUAGACAGUAUGUCUCCGUGUAGACAGUAUGUGCAUUAACAGAAAAACAGAAACUUAAAUUAAAGUACAUCUUCGUAUACAUCAUUGCAUAUUUUCAUGUAUUUAUGCUUGUCAUAAAUGCGUAAAUAACCGCGUCUAGUUACGAUUCGCCGUGAAUCUCUCUUAUCGUGGAGCUUAUCAUAAUAAUCUUAAACAAUGGCAAACUGUUCGAUCCAGUUGUAUGGGAGAUCUAGGACAGGCUCAACAACGGUAGUUGAAGUAGUUACCACCGAUGGUCCUUUGAUCCCUGGAAACGGAGGAGGGUGGGGGUGGGGGGUGGGGGACGUCGAUUGUGAAAGACGCCAAGUUCGCCAAUUGCGGAUCUUCUGAAACUGCGGAAACAUCACCGUGAGAGAGAACAAUAGUAGAUGCUUGCGUUUCAAUGGGAUUCUCUGAAUUACGAACGCAUUCCGGAUGUAACGCAGAAACUUCUCCAGAGGCUCGUUCGCUUCGUAUGAAUACUGGUGAAUCUACUCAAAGAUUAACAACAUGCUUACCUGGAUACGAAUUUUGUUAGCGAAUCUUCAAUUGCCGUUUCGACCUCGAUAGUCCAAGUGCCGUAAAUUCCGAAUUUCCGAAGGAUACAUGAAAAGCUACACUUGGAAUGGAACCACUCGAUCGUUGGUUCCAUCUGGACCAACGCUCCCUCUAAAAGGGUCUCGCAAGGCUACCACUCAAGAUAUCGAAAAUGCAACAACCGGGAAAAAAUAGCUACUUAUUAUCUUCGUUUCACAUAUUUUUCUCCAAACUGAAAAUAUGUAAGAUAUAAUCUGUUAAAAAUAAAGAUUUAUGUGUACAUAUU